GGAUAUAUAGUUCAGUGGUAGAGCAUUUGCCCAGCAUGCAUGAGGUCCUGGGUUCAAUCCCCAGUCCCUCCA
Molecule: transfer RNA, 72 nt
Filed under: Camelus bactrianus (Bactrian camel)
Lineage: Eukaryota; Metazoa; Chordata; Mammalia; Artiodactyla; Camelidae
Also listed under: 2 other names
Rfam family: tRNA
About the family: Transfer RNA (tRNA) molecules are approximately 80 nucleotides in length. Their secondary structure includes four short double-helical elements and three loops (D, anti-codon, and T loops).
Source: Rfam by way of RNAcentral